CCAAACGACUCUCGGCAACGGAUAUCUCGGCUCUCGCAUCGAUGAAGAACGUAGCAAAAUGCGAUACCUGGUGUGAAUUGCAGAAUCCCGUGAACCAUCGAGUUUUUGAACGCAAGUUGCGCCUGAUGCCUUCUGGUUGAGGGCACGCCUGCCUGGGCGUCAUGC
This 165-nucleotide ribosomal RNA is filed under the name Spinifex littoreus. Its description in RNAcentral is "5.8S ribosomal RNA". It matches the Rfam family "5.8S ribosomal RNA". Rfam says of the family: 5.8S ribosomal RNA (5.8S rRNA) is a component of the large subunit of the eukaryotic ribosome. The record is from RNAcentral. Lineage: Eukaryota; Viridiplantae; Streptophyta; Magnoliopsida; Poales; Poaceae.